RNAcentral lists this ribosomal RNA (520 nucleotides) under uncultured Glomus. Its description in RNAcentral is "SSU rRNA". It matches the Rfam family "Eukaryotic small subunit ribosomal RNA", at positions 569 to 1088 of the family's 1831-position model. The record is from RNAcentral. Lineage: Eukaryota; Fungi; Glomeromycota; Glomeromycetes; Glomerales; Glomeraceae.
AGCAGCCGCGGUAAUUCCAGCUCCAAUAGCGUAUAUUAAAGUUGUUGCAGUUAAAAAGCUCGUAGUUGAAUUUCGGGAUCAGCAGGUCGGUCGUGCCACUGGUAUGCACUGGCCCUUUGCUGAUUCCUCCCUCUUGAUGAGCCGUAAUGCCAUUAAUUUGGUGUUGCGGGGAAUCAGGACUGUUACUUUGAAAAAAUUAGAGUGUUUAAAGCAGGCAUGCGCCUGAAUACAUUAGCAUGGAAUAAUGAAAUAGGACGUUCGAUCCUAUUUUGUUGGUUUCUAGGAUUGACGUAAUGAUUAAUAGGGAUAGUUGGGGGCAUUAGUAUUCAAUUGUCAGAGGUGAAAUUCUUGGAUUUAUUGAAGACUAACUACUGCGAAAGCAUUUGCCAAGGAUGUUUUCAUUAAUCAAGAACGAAAGUUAGGGGAUCGAAGACGAUCAGAUACCGUCGUAGUCUUAACCAUAAACUAUGCCGACUAGGGAUCGGAUGAUGUUAAUUUUUUAAUGACUCAUUCGGCGCCU